Molecule: ribosomal RNA, 229 nt
Filed under: uncultured bacterium
Lineage: Bacteria
Description: partial 16S ribosomal RNA
Rfam family: Bacterial small subunit ribosomal RNA
Source: RNAcentral
UGUGUAGGCGGGCUUGUAAGUCAGAGGUGAAAUCCUACGGCUCAACCGUAGAACUGCCUUUGAUACUGCAGGUCUUGAGUCCUGGAGAGGUUGUUAGAAUUCGUGGUGUAGCGGUGAAAUGCGUAGAUAUCACGAGGAAUACCGGUUACGAAGGUUGACAACUGGACGGGUACUGACGCUGAGGCACGAAAGCGUGGGGAGCAAGCAGGAUUAGAUACCCUGGUAGUCC